CCUACGGGAGGCAGCAGUGAGGAAUAUUGGUCAAUGGACGAGAGUCUGAACCAGCCAAGUAGCGUGAAGGAUGACUGCCCUAUGGGUUGUAAACUUCUUUUAUAUGGGAAUAAAAUGUUCCACGUGUGGGAUUUUGUAUGUACCAUAUGAAUAAGGAUCGGCUAACUCCGUGCCAGCAGCCGCGGUAAUACGGAGGAUCCGAGCGUUAUCCGGAUUUAUUGGGUUUAAAGGGAGCGUAGGUGGAUUGUUAAGUCAGUUGUGAAAGUUUGCGGAUCAACCGUAAAAUUGCAGUUGAAACUGGCAGUCUUGAGUACAGUAGAGGUGGGCGGAAUUCGUGGUGUAGCGGUGAAAUGCGUAGAUAUCACGAAGAACUCCGAUUGCGAAGGCAGUUCACUGGACUGCAACUGACACUGAGGCUCGAAAGUGUGGGUAUCAAACAGGAUUAGAUACCCUUGUAGUC
Molecule: ribosomal RNA, 460 nt
Filed under: uncultured bacterium
Lineage: Bacteria
Description: partial 16S ribosomal RNA
Rfam family: Bacterial small subunit ribosomal RNA
Source: RNAcentral